AGUGCCAGGUGGGUAGUUUGACUGGGGCGGUCGCCUCCUAAAGAGUAACGGAGGUGCGCAAAGGUUACCUUAGAGUGGUUGGAAAUCACUCUGUAAGUGUAAAGGCAUAAGGUAGCUUAACUGUAAGACUGACAAGUCGAACAGAUACGAAAGUAGGUCUUAGUGAUCUGGCGGUGGCAAGUGGAAGCGCCGUCACUUAACGAAUAAAAGGUACUCCGGGGAUAACAGGCUUAUCCUUCCCAAGAGUUCACAUCGACGGAAGGGUUUGGCACCUCGAUGUCGGCUCAUCGCAUCCUAGGGCUGGAGCAGGUCCUAAGGGUAUGGCUGUUCGCCAUUUAAAGCGGUACGCGAGCUGGGUUCAGAACGUCGUGAGACAGUUUGGUCCCUAUCUGCCACAAGCGUUGGAUAUUUGAGAGGAGCUAUCUUUAGUACGAGAGGACCGAGAUGGACGAACCUCUAGUGUACCAGUUAUCCUGCCAAGGGUAAGUGCUGGGUA
RNAcentral lists this ribosomal RNA (496 nucleotides) under uncultured Borrelia sp. Its description in RNAcentral is "partial 23S ribosomal RNA". It matches the Rfam family "Bacterial large subunit ribosomal RNA", at positions 2253 to 2747 of the family's 2925-position model. The record is from RNAcentral. Lineage: Bacteria; Pseudomonadati; Spirochaetota; Spirochaetia; Spirochaetales; Borreliaceae.